GUUUGAUCCUGGCUCAGGAUGAACGCUGGCGGCGUGCCUAAUACAUGCAAGUCGAGCGAACUGAUUAGAAGCUUGCUUCUAUGACGUUAGCGGCGGACGGGUGAGUAACACGUGGGCAACCUGCCUGUAAGACUGGGAUAACUUCGGGAAACCGAAGCUAAUACCGGAUAGGAUCUUCUCCUUCAUGGGAGAUGAUUGAAAGAUGGUUUCGGCUAUCACUUACAGAUGGGCCCGCGGUGCAUUAGCUAGUUGGUGAGGUAAUGGCUCACCAAGGCAACGAUGCAUAGCCGACCUGAGAGGGUGAUCGGCCACACUGGGACUGAGACACGGCCCAGACUCCUACGGGAGGCAGCAGUAGGGAAUCUUCCGCAAUGGACGAAAGUCUGACGGAGCAACGCCGCGUGAGUGAUGAAGGCUUUCGGGUCGUAAAACUCUGUUGUUAGGGAAGAACAAGUACAAGAGUAACUGCUUGUACCUUGACGGUACCUAACCAGAAAGCCACGGCUAACUACGUGCCAGCAGCCGCGGUAAUACGUAGGUGGCAAGCGUUAUCCGGAAUUAUUGGGCGUAAAGCGCGCGCAGGCGGUUUCUUAAGUCUGAUGUGAAAGCCCACGGCUCAACCGUGGAGGGUCAUUGGAAACUGGGGAACUUGAGU
Molecule: ribosomal RNA, 655 nt
Filed under: uncultured Bacillus sp.
Lineage: Bacteria; Bacillati; Bacillota; Bacilli; Caryophanales; Bacillaceae
Description: bacterial SSU rRNA
Rfam family: Bacterial small subunit ribosomal RNA
Source: RNAcentral